This 253-nucleotide ribosomal RNA is filed under the name uncultured prokaryote. Its description in RNAcentral is "partial 16S ribosomal RNA". It matches the Rfam family "Bacterial small subunit ribosomal RNA", at positions 524 to 776 of the family's 1533-position model. The record is from RNAcentral.
UACAGAGGGUGCAAGCGUUAAUCGGAAUUACUGGGCGUAAAGGGCGUGUAGGUGGUUUCUUAAGUUAGAUGUGAAAGCCCUGGGCUCAACCUGGGAACAGCAUCUAAAACUGGGUAACUAGAGUAUGGUAGAGGGAAGUGGAAUUUCUAGUGUAGCGGUGAAAUGCAUAGAUAUUAGAAAGAACACCAGUGGCGAAGGCGACUUCCUGGACCAAUACUGACACUGAGGCGCGAAAGCGUGGGGAGCAAACAGG